This 567-nucleotide long non-coding RNA is filed under the name Zonotrichia albicollis (white-throated sparrow). RNAcentral describes it as "lncRNA (ENSZALG00000002043.1)". The record is from RNAcentral. Lineage: Eukaryota; Metazoa; Chordata; Aves; Passeriformes; Passerellidae.
AAGGAAGAGCUCAAGAAGCUCCCACGAGUGAAGGCAAACUCUUCACCCAGCAGCCUGUUAAAAAGUAGGGCUUGAUUCCACAGGAAAUUGUAGGUACUGGAGGCUUACAUAGACUAGGAAAGUGGUUAGAUAUUUUCACAUGGGGACAAAAAAAGGGAAUGAAGUGGUUGUUUCUCCCCAUCCUGUUCCAGAGCAGUUGGAGUGAGAAGACAGAGGCUCACUAGUGCCUUGUGUCUCAUCCUGAUGGUGUCUUGGACUCUCUGCCUUUUCCACCUCCAUCCAGACCUGCUGAGCAGUUUCCUGAGGAAUCCUGUUCCUAAGACAGCCUCUGCAACAGCUUUGUUAGCCAAGCAUGGAAUUCUACUCAUUAGUUUUCCUGGAAAAAAAAUAUUUGUGCAUGUCAGUUCUUCAGCACCACCAGCGAACAACAGCAGAAAACAUCCAGAUUGUGUAAUUCCCAUGGAAAAUGGCAUUUGAAUGGAGAAAAAUUUCUCCUUAGAAUGUUAGUUUUAAUUUAAAAAUUUAAAAAUAUAUGUCUUUAUAUUUAUAUAUUUGACUAUAUCUAUG